Molecule: ribosomal RNA, 404 nt
Filed under: uncultured bacterium
Lineage: Bacteria
Description: bacterial SSU rRNA
Rfam family: Bacterial small subunit ribosomal RNA
Source: RNAcentral
AACGAACGCUGGCGGCGUGCCUAACACAUGCAAGUCGCGCGGGAAAGUUCCCUUCGGGGAGCGAGUAUAGCGGCGCACGGGUGAGUAAUACGUAGGUAACCUGCCCUUGAGACUGGGACAACCUGUCGAAAGACGGGCUAAUACCGGAUAAGACCACGAGAGCUGCGGCUCUUGGGGUAAAAGUGCCUCUGCUUGCAAGCUAUCACUUGAGGAUGGGCCUGCGCGCCAUUAGCUAGUUGGUGAGGUAACGGCUCACCAAGGCAGAGAUGGCUAGCUGGUCUGAGAGGAUGACCAGCCACACUGGGACUGAGACACGGCCCAGACUCCUACGGGAGGCAGCAGUGGGGAAUAUUGCGCAAUGGGCGAAAGCCUGACGCAGCGACGCCGCGUGGGUGAUGAAGGCC